AAGGCUUUAGCUUAAUUAAAGUGUCUGUCUUGCAUGCAGAAGAUGUGGGUUAGUGUCCUGCAAGUCUUA
RNAcentral lists this transfer RNA (69 nucleotides) under Sicyopterus japonicus (grazing goby). Its description in RNAcentral is "tRNA-Ala". It matches the Rfam family "tRNA". From Rfam's summary of the family: Transfer RNA (tRNA) molecules are approximately 80 nucleotides in length. Their secondary structure includes four short double-helical elements and three loops (D, anti-codon, and T loops). The record is from RNAcentral. Lineage: Eukaryota; Metazoa; Chordata; Actinopteri; Gobiiformes; Gobiidae.